UGGGUGUGAAGAGAGCAGACCACCUGAAGAAUGGCUCUUCUGUGUAUAACACAUCCAACAGCAGCUUAGGCUUACUCCUCCCGUCUGGCAGGAGGCUAUGACUUUCUCUGACAUUACCCCUAUAUAU
Pipistrellus kuhlii (Kuhl's pipistrelle) is the source of this 127-nucleotide small nucleolar RNA. RefSeq annotates it as small nucleolar RNA SNORA11. The record is from RefSeq and is a predicted model, not a curated record. NCBI's taxonomy places the organism in Eukaryota, Metazoa, Chordata, Mammalia, Chiroptera, Vespertilionidae. The transcript has a single exon.